RNAcentral lists this ribosomal RNA (253 nucleotides) under uncultured bacterium. Its description in RNAcentral is "partial 16S ribosomal RNA". It matches the Rfam family "Bacterial small subunit ribosomal RNA", at positions 524 to 776 of the family's 1533-position model. The record is from RNAcentral.
UACGUAGGGGGCAAGCGUUGUCCGGAUUUAUUGGGCGUAAAGAGCGUGUAGGCGGCUAGGUAGGUCCGUUGUGAAAACUCGAGGCUCAACCUCGAGACGCCGGUGGAAACCAUCUAGCUAGAGUCCGGAAGAGGAGAGUGGAAUUCCUGGUGUAGCGGUGAAAUGCGCAGAUAUCAGGAAGAACACCCGUGGCGAAGGCGGCUCUCUGGGACGUGACUGACGCUGAGACGCGGAAGCGUGGGGAGCAAACAGG